AGUCGAGCGGAUGACAGGAGCUUGCUCCUGAAUUCAGCGGCGGACGGGUGAGUAAUGCCUAGGAAUCUGCCUGGUAGUGGGGGACAACGUUUCGAAAGGAACGCUAAUGCCGCAUACGUCCUACGGGAGAAAGCAGGGGACCUUCGGGCCUUGCGCUAUCAGAUGAGCCUAGGUCGGAUUAGCUAGUUGGUGAGGUAAUGGCUCACCAAGGCGACGAUCCGUAACUGGUCUGAGAGGAUGAUCAGUCACACUGGAACUGAGACACGGUCCAGACUCCUACGGGAGGCAGCAGUGGGGAAUAUUGGACAAUGGGCGAAAGCCUGAUCCAGCCAUGCCGCGUGUGUGAAGAAGGUCUUCGGAUUGUAAAGCACUUUAAGUUGGGAGGAAGGGUUGUAGAUUAAUACUCUGCAAUUUUGACGUUACCGACAGAAUAAGCACCGGCUAACUCUGUGCCAGCAGCCGCGGUAAUACAGAGGGUGCAAGCGUUAAUCGGAAUUACUGGGCGUAAAGCGCGCGUAGGUGGUUUGUUAAGUUGGAUGUGAAAGCCCCGGGCUCAACCUGGGAACUGCAUUCAA
Molecule: ribosomal RNA, 575 nt
Filed under: uncultured Pseudomonadota bacterium
Lineage: Bacteria; Pseudomonadati; Pseudomonadota
Description: bacterial SSU rRNA
Rfam family: Bacterial small subunit ribosomal RNA
Source: RNAcentral